Molecule: ribosomal RNA, 558 nt
Filed under: uncultured bacterium
Lineage: Bacteria
Description: partial 16S ribosomal RNA
Rfam family: Bacterial small subunit ribosomal RNA
Source: RNAcentral
UGGGGAAUUUUGGACAAUGGGCGAAAGCCUGAUCCAGCAAUGCCGCGUGUGUGAAGAAGGCCUUCGGGUUGUAAAGCACCUUUGUCCGGAAAGAAAUCCUUGGCUCUAAUACAGUCGGGGGAUGACGGUAUCGGAAGAAUAAGCACCGGCUAACUACGUGCCAGCAGCCGCGGUAAUACGUAGGGUGCAAGCGUUAAUCGGAAUUACUGGGCGUAAAGCGUGCGCAGGCGGUUUGCUAAGACCGAUGUGAAAUCCCCGGGCUCAACCUGGGAACUGCAUUGGUGACUGGCAGGCUAGAGUAUGGCAGAGGGGGGUAGAAUUCCACGUGUAGCAGUGAAAUGCGUAGAGAUGUGGAGGAAUACCGAUGGCGAAGGCAGCCCCCUGGGCCAAUACUGACGCUCAUGCACGAAAGCGUGGGGAGCAAACAGGAUUAGAUACCCUGGUAGUCCACGCCCUAAACGAUGUCAACUAGUUGUUGGGGGAUUCAUUUUCCUUAGUAACGUAGCUAACGCGUGAAGUUGGACCGCCUGGGGAGUACGGUCGCAAGAUUAAAAGCUC